Molecule: ribosomal RNA, 496 nt
Filed under: uncultured bacterium
Lineage: Bacteria
Description: partial 16S ribosomal RNA
Rfam family: Bacterial small subunit ribosomal RNA
Source: RNAcentral
GACGAACGCUGGCGGCGUGCCUAAUACAUGCAAGUUGAGCGAUGAAGAUUGGUGCUUGCACCAAUUUGAAGAGCAGCGAACGGGUGAGUAACGCGUGGGGAAUCUGCCUUUGAGCGGGGGACAACAUUUGGAAACGAAUGCUAAUACCGCAUAACAACUUUAAACAUAAGUUUUAAGUUUGAAAGAUGCAAUUGCAUCACUCAAAGAUGAUCCCGCGUUGUAUUAGCUAGUUGGUGAGGUAAAGGCUCACCAAGGCGAUGAUACAUAGCCGACCUGAGAGGGUGAUCGGCCACAUUGGGACUGAGACACGGCCCAAACUCCUACGGGAGGCAGCAGUAGGGAAUCUUCGGCAAUGGACGAAAGUCUGACCGAGCAACGCCGCGUGAGUGAAGAAGGUUUUCGGAUCGUAAAACUCUGUUGGUAGAGAAGAACGUUGGUGAGAGUGGAAAGCUCAUCAAGUGACGGUAACUACCCAGAAAAGGACGGCUAACUACGU